CGCCGGCCCGCAGGCGACGGUAUCGUCACCUCGUCAACCGAAGACGACGGCGCAACGGAAGCCCGGUGAGAUUCCGGCACGGCCGCGCCACUGUGAGCCGGACGACGCCCCGUGCGGGGCGGAGUUCGGUGAGUCAGACCCGCACCGUCGUGAAGAGCUCCAC
RNAcentral lists this non-coding RNA (163 nucleotides) under Streptomyces sp. Lineage: Bacteria; Bacillati; Actinomycetota; Actinomycetes; Kitasatosporales; Streptomycetaceae. The record is from RNAcentral.